This 508-nucleotide ribosomal RNA is filed under the name Meristogenys poecilus. Its description in RNAcentral is "partial large subunit ribosomal RNA". Lineage: Eukaryota; Metazoa; Chordata; Amphibia; Anura; Ranidae. The record is from RNAcentral.
CAACGGCCGCGGUACCCUAACCGUGCGAAGGUAGCAUAAUCACUUGUUCUUUAAAUAAGGACUAGUAUCAACGGCACCACGAGGGCUAUACUGUCUCCUUUCUCCAAUCAGUGAAACUGAUCUCCCCGUGAAGAAGCGGGGAUUAAUAUAUAAGACGAGAAGACCCCAUGGAGCUUUAAACUCAUCAUACACCUCUGUUUAUCUACAUCACCAUAUCCUAAAAGACUUGUAUGCUAGUUUUAGGUUGGGGGGACCGCGGAGUAAAAAUUAACCUCCACGACAAAUGGGCUACSUUAUCUAAGAACGACAGUUCUAAGAAUCAACAAACUGAUGUUUAAUGACCCGAAUAAUCGAUCAACGAACCAAGUUACCCUGGGGAUAACAGCGCAAUCUACUUCAAGAGCCCCUAUCGACAAGUAGGUUUACGACCUCGAUGUUGGAUCAGGGUAUCCCAGUGGUGCAGCCGCUACUAAAGGUUCGUUUGUUCAACGAUUAAAACCCUACGUGA